This 492-nucleotide ribosomal RNA is filed under the name uncultured bacterium. RNAcentral describes it as "partial 16S ribosomal RNA". It matches the Rfam family "Bacterial small subunit ribosomal RNA", at positions 29 to 507 of the family's 1533-position model. The record is from RNAcentral.
AGUGAACGCUGGCGGUAGGCCUAACACAUGCAAGUCGAACGGCAGCACAGUAAGAGCUUGCUCUUACGGGUGGCGAGUGGCGGACGGGUGAGGAAUACAUCGGAAUCUACUUUUUCGUGGGGGAUAACGUAGGGAAACUUGCGCUAAUACCGCAUACGACCUACGGGUGAAAGCAGGGGAUCUUCGGACCUUGCGCGAUUGAAUGAGCCGAUGUCGGAUUAGCUAGUUGGCGGGGUAAAGGCCCACCAAGGCGACGAUCCGUAGCUGGUCUGAGAGGAUGAUCAGCCACACUGGAACUGAGACACGGUCCAGACUCCUACGGGAGGCAGCAGUGGGGAAUAUUGGACAAUGGGCGCAAGCCUGAUCCAGCCAUACCGCGUGGGUGAAGAAGGCCUUCGGGUUGUAAAGCCGUUUUGUUGGGAAAGAAAAGCAGCAGGUUAAUACCCCGCUGUUCUGACGGUACCCAAAGAAUAAGCACCGGCUAACUUCGUG